Molecule: ribosomal RNA, 440 nt
Filed under: uncultured bacterium
Lineage: Bacteria
Description: partial 16S ribosomal RNA
Rfam family: Bacterial small subunit ribosomal RNA
Source: RNAcentral
CCUACGGGAGGCAGCAGUAGGGAAUAUUGCUCAAUGGGGGAAACCCUGAAGCAGCAACGCCGCGUGGAGGAUGAAGGUUUUCGGAUUGUAAACUCCUUUUGUUAGAGAAGAUAAUGACGGUAUCUAGCACAUAAGCACCGGCUAACUCCGUGCCAGCAGCCGCGGUAAUACGGAGGGUGCAAGCGGUACUCGGAAUGUCUGGUCUGAAAGGUCGCGUAGGCGGGAUAGCAAGUCAGAUGUGAAUUCCUAUGGCUUAACCAUAGAACUGCAUUUGAAACUGUUAUUCUAGAGUAUGGGAGAGGUAGGUGGAAUUCGUGGUGUAGGGGUAAAAUCCGUAGAGAUCAAGAGGAAUACUCAUUGCGAAGGCGACCUGCUAGAACAUAACUGACGCUGAUGCGCGAAAGCGUGGGGAGCAAACAGGAUUAGAUACCCGUGUAGUC